This 486-nucleotide ribosomal RNA is filed under the name uncultured bacterium. RNAcentral describes it as "partial 16S ribosomal RNA". It matches the Rfam family "Bacterial small subunit ribosomal RNA", at positions 30 to 507 of the family's 1533-position model. The record is from RNAcentral.
AUUGAACGCUGGCGGCAUGCCUUACACAUGCAAGUCGAACGGCAGCACGGGUGCUUGCACCUGGUGGCGAGUGGCGAACGGGUGAGUAAUACAUCGGAACAUGUCCUGUAGUGGGGGAUAGCCCGUCGAAAGCCGGAUUAAUACCGCAUACGAUCCACGGAUGAAAGCGGGGGACCUUCGGGCCUCGCGCUAUAGGGUUGGCCGAUGGCUGAUUAGCUAGUUGGUGGGGUAAAGGCCUACCAAGGCGACGAUCAGUAGCUGGUCUGAGAGGACGACCAGCCACACUGGGACUGAGACACGGCCCAGACUCCUACGGGAGGCAGCAGUGGGGAAUUUUGGACAAUGGGCGAAAGCCUGAUCCAGCAAUGCCGCGUGUGUGAAGAAGGCCUUCGGGUUGUAAAGCACUUUUGUCCGGAAAGAAAUCCUUGGCUCUAAUACAGUCGGGGGAUGACGGUACCGGAAGAAUAAGCACCGGCUAACUACGUG